UUCUGAUGCAGCCUGGAUAUCGUCUCCAUUGGAAUCCCUAAUGUGGAGAACUAACUUUGUCUUGAAGCUCCUGUGGACUGCAUAGAAAUCCUCCACAGCCAUCAUAAUGCUGUUGUAUAUUGAGCGACAGUCAGACUGAGGAGCAAGAAGAAGAUUGCAGCCCUCUCAGGUGCUCUCUCCAUCCCUAUCCUGUGGUCUGCUCUGCUGGUUACUGAAUGUAUGGUGCCAUGCAGUCUUAUAGCACUGAUUUUUCAUUUCUUUGACUUGGUCAGAUUGCAUUAUAGGCUCUGUUGUCUCUGAAUUAAAAUUAUAAGCUUCCUUCUUGCUGUUCAUAGGAUUGAAAGGAACUGGCAAGAUUAUAUAAACAAUAGUAAGGUGAUCGGCAACGCCUAGAAGAGUGCAUGGGCUUUGCAAAUGAAAUCUUACCAUCUCUGUUUCCCUAUACUUGUCACCAGAAAUUACUAUUCUUCAAACUUUGAUUACUCACCUUUUAGUAAUAAAUUUGUUUAUAAAUAUUUAAAAACACAACGUAUUAUACCAGGAGAGUCAAAAUUCAGAACCUCAGGCAUUAAAUACGUUGUCACAACACACCAUUUCGUAAGGCCCAAAGACCACUUGAGGAAGGUGUGUAUGUCCAGCUCAUUUUUCCUACGUUUGCAAGCUAGAAUUUCCUUGUAUUUUCCAGACAUACCUGAACAGGGAGCUAUUAGGAAAAAUCAUUUAUAUUUAUAAACAGAAUGAUAGCUUCUUUUAAAAUGGUAUGGGAUAUUCCUUGAAGAGUGCAUAUGGUAGGUCUAAAAAUAUUCUCCUGGUAUCGUAAUUUAUGGGUACAUCACUGAUUAUACUGUUUGUAAUGGCAAGUCAACUCAAUGGGAUUUUCUCUGAUCACAAGAGUCCAGAAUUGGCAGAUGUGGUUGACAUUCAACAAUCAGAUUUGGUUGACAUUCAAUUGAGCUUCUGUUCGUUGAAGCUUCAAGGACCAUCCAAUCCAAUCCAAUCAAUUUGGUCCAUAAAAAAAAUUAAAAACUUAUUGAGAUGUUGAUUGACGAAUUAAGAUGAACAAUAUUGUAAGGUGCAGGACGUACACUACCAAGAAUAAGUGGUAAGCACUGGAGGAGCAACACAUACAAAACCUUUGUCUGACCUGGAUUUUGCUUGGUUCAAAGGUAAUGGACUGAUCGCUAACGAUCGUCUGCUGCAGUGGCACUGCCUUCUUCACUCCGAUUCCUUGCUUCGCCUCCGUCAGGUAUGCUUCUCCUGGCACUGGCAGCUGCAGGCGAUCUAAAUGGCUAUUCUUCCCAAUUAAUGGGUCAGGCAAUGCUAGUUCUCACAGGGGGGUUGUCACCUGUCGAAGGAAAUGUCCGGUAGCAUUAGCAACUAGUAUAGCUUCCCGAGCUUACAGCUUUGCUGCUUACCGGGCCUUGUUCUCGUCCUCGUCCUCGCCGGAGCUUUGCUCUUGAUGUAAUUAACUGAGUCUAAAUAAAGCUUCUAUUAUCUUAAAAAAAAAAAGAAUGCCUAUACAUGAGCAGU
Oryza sativa Japonica Group (Japanese rice) is the source of this 1530-nucleotide non-coding RNA. The record is from RefSeq and is a predicted model, not a curated record. Lineage: Eukaryota; Viridiplantae; Streptophyta; Magnoliopsida; Poales; Poaceae.